CUGAUGUGGGGGAUAACCAUUGGAAACGAUGGCUAAUACCGCAUGAUGCCUACGGGCCAAAGAGGGGGACCUUCGGGCCUCUCGCGUCAGGAUAUGCCUAGGUGGGAUUAGCUAGUUGGUGAGGUAAGGGCUCACCAAGGCGACGAUCCCUAGCUGGUCUGAGAGGAUGAUCAGCCACACUGGAACUGAGACACGGUCCAGACUCCUACGGGAGGCAGCAGUGGGGAAUAUUGCACAAUGGGCGCAAGCCUGAUGCAGCCAUGCCGCGUGUGUGAAGAAGGCCUUCGGGUUGUAAAGCACUUUCAGUCGUGAGGAAGGUGGUGUAGUUAAUAGCUGCAUUAUUUGACGUUAGCGACAGAAGAAGCACCGGCUAACUCCGUGCCAGCAGCCGCGGUAAUACGGAGGGUGCGAGCGUUAAUCGGAAUUACUGGGCGUAAAGCGCAUGCAGGUGGUUUGUUAAGUCAGAUGUGAAAGCCCGGGGCUCAACCUCGGAAUAGCAUUUGAAACUGGCAGACUAGAGUACUGUAGAGGGGGGUAGAAUUUCAGGUGUAGCGGUGAAAUGCGUAGAGAUCUGAAGGGAUACCGGUGGCGAAGGCGGCCCCCUGGACAGAUACUGACACUCAGAUGCGAAAGCGUGGGGAGCACACACGAUUAGAUACUCUGGUAGUCCACGCCGUAACGAUGUCUACUUGGAGGUUGUGGCCUUGAGCCGUGGCUUUCGAGCUAACGCGUUAAGUAGAC
This 741-nucleotide ribosomal RNA is filed under the name Vibrio alginolyticus. Its description in RNAcentral is "bacterial SSU rRNA". It matches the Rfam family "Bacterial small subunit ribosomal RNA", at positions 131 to 869 of the family's 1533-position model. Lineage: Bacteria; Pseudomonadati; Pseudomonadota; Gammaproteobacteria; Vibrionales; Vibrionaceae. The record is from RNAcentral.